GCCUGUUGAGCGCGCGCCUUCCAACGGUCAUCAAAACCCCCAACGCCCUCCAGCAAAGCAGGAGUCAAGCCAAGUUUCUUUAUGUCAGGUCCCAGCUUCGCUUCACACAAGGACUUGGACUUGUAGCUUUUGGCAAGCACACACACUAGACUGGCCUAGGAGUAUGGAGAUUGGUGCUUACUCUGUGAUCCUGUGCCUGCCAUGGACUUCACUGCUCAGCAUCUGUCUCCCUCCCUGAAGCCUGCUCACAGUUGUUUCCUCAGCUCUAUCACAGUGUCAAAUAGACCUCCCUCCAAUGAAUAUUCAGAAUGAUGUUUUCAUUUAUUAGGUUGAAGCAUUUAAGGGAAAUAGUUUAAGUUGGGUAUGCUUUAGAAAAUGAUCAUAUAGAGCAUUGGGUCUGGCAGCUCUGUAGAAAGAAGCAGCUGAAAGUGUUCCUCCCUCUGUUUGUAUGCUUCUGGAAGCCGUCAGAGGCCAUCUGUCAGACCAACCUGGCCUGUCUUCUGUGCUGUCACACAGGGCUGGGGCAUGUGGGCAGAAUUAAUGUGCCAGGCGAGAGGAAAGUAAGUACUGGUAUACAAAGACAAAAGGACUUCCAUCCUGUUUAUUCCAUUAAAUCUUCACAUUUAUUUAUUAGACAUGUGUCAUGUUUAGGUUAUAGAAAAGAAGAAAAAAAAUGUUCCUUUAAGCCCCGGUCCCAGCAGAGGCUGGGCAGACCUAUCGCCAUUUCCCUCCUGCUAGCCCUUGAAAUGGAAGAUGCAAUCUUGGGUUUGAGCUGAGCUGCCUGACACGUGUCAACCUCUAGAAAAUUAGCAGGUGUAUCACACAGCAGCUUUCAACGUGCUGUGAAAAGAAGUCUCCGGCACUCGUGGCUCCAAGUCUGCCUGGAAAUCAAAAGUGCUGUUUGCCCCAGCGUCUUAGACUGGCAUGCCCAGCCAGCUCGCAAUGUUGACCAGAGCUGCCCAACCCUAGACAACCAGGACUGUGAUAAGACGGCCUAUUACUGUGAACCGCUGACUGUUCAAGAAUUUUGUCAUUGUGGCCGCCAGAAUUCUUUUGUAGUUACGAUCCAUUAGUGUACAGAUUGCUCCAUUGGCAUGCCUGUCACUAGGAAUGGACUUGGCUCCACCAACCUCACUCUCUGUUUGUCCUAGAAAAUCAGACCCAUAUUUCAUGACAUUUUAGUUGCCAGUUCUGAAUACCUGGGAGACACUUUUCAGAUAUCCAUGGGAUUUAAGGAGGCCCACGAGGUGAAGCGAAGGAACUGGGAUCAUUUAGGUGCACCUUAAGAAAGUGGCAGGCAUACACCUGCACCCAGGUCACCUGGGUCACUCAGGCUAGCAGGCAUGCUCAUCUGGGUUUACACAGAGAAGUGAGGACACUGCACCUUACAGAGUGGUGACACACAGAAUUGGGACAUAAGUAAGUCAUGGUUUGUAACAACCAGCUAUGAGGAUUAACAACAAUAACCAAGGCUAGCAAAGUUUUAACCUAGGAUAAAUGGACCUGUAGCUACAAAAACAGAUGCACCUGGAGAUGUUGUCCAUCCUCCACUGCCAGUGGGAAUAUAAAUUGAUUUGGACCAUUAGAAACCUUAGAAGUCAGUGGAGGUUACUUUGUAGAGCAAAAGCCCUCAUCAGUAAUGUGCACAUGCUCACAUCAGAAGAGCUGAUGGCCUGCUGCUGGAUAUGUUCAACAUAUCAAAAGUCUUAGCAGGGCCAGUGCCACGCCUGUGAGGAGAAGGCUACUUUUAGAAAGACCAGGUAUACUAUACAUCCUGAAAUUGAAGGACAGUCAAUUCCAAAAAGGAAUUUCUCUUUACUUUCCUUGACUUUAAAAGGUCAAACAGAGGGGCUGGAGGACUUGAAGAGCUGCUGGUUGAGAUGUAAGAACACAGGCUGUUCUUGUAGAGGAGCCAGGUUCAGUUCCCAACACCCACAUGUUGGCUCAAACCCAACCAUAACACCCGUUCCAGGAAUCUGAUGCCCUCUUUUGACCUCUGCAGUCAACAAGCAUACACAUGUUGAGCAGACAUACAUGCAGGCAAAACAUCUAUACACAUAAAUAAAAUAAAAAUUAAACAGGUAGCAGAGUGUUAACUAGGAAACAGCCCUAUUUAUAGUCACCGAAGAAUACAGCAUAGCUCUGGUUGACAUAGAUACUAAGUAAUUUUGCUAGCUCAUCUCGGAUGCUAUAUCUUUUCAGAGAUUCAGCUACUAGAAAAGAGAUUACAUUUGUUUUCUGAGAACUUUGUUAAGAACCUCCCUGGGAUUGGAGAGAUGGUUCAGCAGUUAAAAUCAUUGACUGUUCUUCCAGAGGAUGUAGGUUCAAUCCCUAGCACCCACAUGACAUUCACAACUAACUGCCUGUGACUCUAGUCCCAAGGGUUACUAUGCCCCCAUCAUGCUCCAGGCAUCCACAUGGUACAUAAACAUACAUGAAGGAAAAACACCCAUACACAUAAAUAAUAAAAGUGUUCAACUGUCUUCAUCACAAACAGCAACCCUGACAGUUUCUGACUUACCCAUGUCACGCAUGUCUACCAGCCUGCAUUCACAAGUAAGUUCCUUCUGUUUUUUUAAGUGACACAUUUGUGGUCACUGACACCAUGAAAUAACUACUAAAAUGAGUAGUGUCUUAAAAGUAUACAAAAGUAAUUAUUUAUGAAUUCAAGGUAAUAAAUGAUGUGACACAAUAUGGUUGUUAUAAGGAUGAAACAGAAUAAGGCAGAAAAGGCCAGUUAUUAGAUACUGAGCUAUUGAUGUAUCGAAUGAUUUACUUAAAGCACUUUUUGCGUGGCCUGUCUGCCAAGCAUGACUUCACUGCUACCUGGAACAGAAUGACCUGGAGAAAUAGCUGAGACAAUGGGCCUUUCCCUUAACAACCUGCUGACUGACAUGUGUGCUCUGUAAAAUCUUGCCUGCUUGCCCGCCCCACCUUGUGGUUUUAGAAUAUGAAAUGAGAGUGCGAACUGGACCCAACAUUGAUGCCUUUCACGAGCUUCCUGGCUUUGGUCCACUGGUGGCAUCUCCUCUCUUCCACUCUUAUUGUGGGAGUGCUUAUUCCAGAAAGAUUCCCACAAGAAUAUAGCAGCUGACAGGUACUCCCAAGAUAAAUUCCAAGCAUGUCCGAAGACAGC
Molecule: long non-coding RNA, 3136 nt
Filed under: Mus pahari (shrew mouse)
Lineage: Eukaryota; Metazoa; Chordata; Mammalia; Rodentia; Muridae
Description: lncRNA (MGP_PahariEiJ_G0003468.1)
Source: RNAcentral